This is a non-coding RNA of Paramisgurnus dabryanus, 455 nucleotides long. Lineage: Eukaryota; Metazoa; Chordata; Actinopteri; Cypriniformes; Cobitidae. The record is from RefSeq and is a predicted model, not a curated record.
GUUGCCUUGCAUGGCUGCCUUGAGGAGGGCAGUAAAACCUCGGUUGUCCCUGAGCUCCAUGUCCACUCCAGAGAAGUAAUUAAGGAUGUAGAACUUUGGAUAGGGCUGCAGCAUUGUUCUUGGCACAGGCUUGGUACAAGGUGUUGGCAGGGCCUCCGCUAUCCUCUUCCCGCUUAUAGUCAGGAAGCACAGAGUCAUCUGACAGCACACUCCCAGAGUCUGAAUCAUUGUCAGAAAUUGACAACUCAGAGGCAUCCUCAUCUGGACCUGAGCCCAGGUGCCAGAUAGAUGCUUGGACCCAUGGCAGUACCCACCAUUGAAGUCCCUGAGUUCUGGACCUCUUUCAUUUUCUGACGCUUGUGUUGGCUCGGGCCUCAGUGGUUGUUUGGCUUCUUGUGGUGCAGCACAGAUCAAUUGUCAUGUGACAUGACAUCACCGCAAGAGCGAUAGAUGUC